AGUGAACGCUGGCGGUAGGCCUAACACAUGCAAGUCGAACGGCAGCACAGUACGUGCUUGCUCUUACGGGUGCCGAGUGGCGGACGGGUGCGGGAUACAUCGGUAUCUACUUUUUCGUACGGGCUAACGUAGGGGCAAUUACCCCAUUACUGCAUACGACCUACGGGGGGAAUCAUCGGAUCUUCGGCUCUUACGUGAUUGAAUGAGCCGAGGUCGGAUUAGCUAGUUGGCGGGGUAAAGGCCCACCAAGGCGACGAUCCGUGACUGGUCUGAGAGGAUGAUCAGUCACACUGGAACUGAGACACGGUCCAGACUCCUACGGGAGGCAGCAGUGGGGAAUAUUGGACAGAGGGCGAAAGCCUGAUCCAGCCAUGCCGCGUGUGUGAAGAAGGUCUUCGGAUUGGAAAGCACUUUAAGUUGGGAGGAAGGGCAGUAAGUUAAUACCUUGCUGUUUUGACGUUACCAACAGAAUAAGCACCGGCUAACUUCGUG
This 492-nucleotide ribosomal RNA is filed under the name uncultured bacterium. RNAcentral describes it as "partial 16S ribosomal RNA". It matches the Rfam family "Bacterial small subunit ribosomal RNA", at positions 29 to 507 of the family's 1533-position model. The record is from RNAcentral.